UGCUAAGGCCGAUGGCGACCGGCGCACGGGUGAGUAACACGUAUCCAACCUGCCGUCUACUCUUGGACAGCCUUCUGAAAGGAAGAUUAAUACAAGAUGGCAUCAUGAGUCCGCAUGUUCACAUGAUUAAAGGUAUUCCGGUAGACGAUGGGGAUGCGUUCCAUUAGAUAGUAGGCGGGGUAACGGCCCACCUAGUCUUCGAUGGAUAGGGGUUCUGAGAGGAAGGUCCCCCACAUUGGAACUGAGACACGGUCCAAACUCCUACGGGAGGCAGCAGUGAGGAAUAUUGGUCAAUGGGCGAGAGCCUGAACCAGCCAAGUAGCGUGAAGGAUGACUGCCCUAUGGGUUGUAAACUUCUUUUAUAAAGGAAUAAAGUCGGGUAUGCAUACCCGUUUGCAUGUACUUUAUGAAUAAGGAUCGGCUAACUCCGUGCCAGCAGCCGCGGUAAUACGGAGGAUUCGAGCGUUAUCCGGAUUUAUUGGGUUUAAAGGGAGCGUAGAUGGAUGUUUAAGUCAGUUGUGAAAGUUUGCGGCUCAACCGUAAAAUUGCAGUUGAUAC
Molecule: ribosomal RNA, 558 nt
Filed under: uncultured Bacteroidales bacterium
Lineage: Bacteria; Pseudomonadati; Bacteroidota; Bacteroidia; Bacteroidales
Description: bacterial SSU rRNA
Rfam family: Bacterial small subunit ribosomal RNA
Source: RNAcentral